This 1500-nucleotide ribosomal RNA is filed under the name uncultured Herminiimonas sp. RNAcentral describes it as "bacterial SSU rRNA". It matches the Rfam family "Bacterial small subunit ribosomal RNA". The record is from RNAcentral. Lineage: Bacteria; Pseudomonadati; Pseudomonadota; Betaproteobacteria; Burkholderiales; Oxalobacteraceae.
UAGAGUUUGAUCAUGGCUCAGAUUGAACGCUGGCGGCAUGCCUUACACAUGCAAGUCGAACGGCAGCAUAGGAGCUUGCUCCUGAUGGCGAGUGGCGAACGGGUGAGUAAUAUAUCGGAACGUGCCCUGGAGUGGGGGAUAACUAGUCGAAAGAUUAGCUAAUACCGCAUACGAUCUAAGGAUGAAAGUGGGGGAUCGCAAGACCUCAUGCUCGUGGAGCGGCCGAUAUCUGAUUAGCUAGUUGGUAGGGUAAAAGCCUACCAAGGCAUCGAUCAGUAGCUGGUCUGAGAGGACGACCAGCCACACUGGAACUGAGACACGGUCCAGACUCCUACGGGAGGCAGCAGUGGGGAAUUUUGGACAAUGGGCGCAAGCCUGAUCCAGCAAUGCCGCGUGAGUGAAGAAGGCCUUCGGGUUGUAAAGCUCUUUUGUUAGGGAAGAAACGGUGAGAGCUAAUAUCUUUUGCUAAUGACGGUACCUGAAGAAUAAGCACCGGCUAACUACGUGCCAGCAGCCGCGGUAAUACGUAGGGUGCAAGCGUUAAUCGGAAUUACUGGGCGUAAAGCGUGCGCAGGCGGUUAUGUAAGUCAGAUGUGAAAUCCCCGGGCUCAACCUGGGAAUGGCAUUUGAGACUGCAUGGCUAGAGUGUGUCAGAGGGGGGUAGAAUUCCACGUGUAGCAGUGAAAUGCGUAGAGAUGUGGAGGAAUACCGAUGGCGAAGGCAGCCCCCUGGGAUAACACUGACGCUCAUGCACGAAAGCGUGGGGAGCAAACAGGAUUAGAUACCCUGGUAGUCCACGCCCUAAACGAUGUCUACUAGUUGUCGGGACUUAAUUGUCUUGGUAACGCAGCUAACGCGUGAAGUAGACCGCCUGGGGAGUACGGUCGCAAGAUUAAAACUCAAAGGAAUUGACGGGGACCCGCACAAGCGGUGGAUGAUGUGGAUUAAUUCGAUGCAACGCGAAAAACCUUACCUACCCUUGACAUGUCUGGAAUCCCUGAGAGAUUAGGGAGUGCUCGAAAGAGAAUCAGAACACAGGUGCUGCAUGGCUGUCGUCAGCUCGUGUCGUGAGAUGUUGGGUUAAGUCCCGCAACGAGCGCAACCCUUGUCAUUAGUUGCUACAUUUAGUUGAGCACUCUAAUGAGACUGCCGGUGACAAACCGGAGGAAGGUGGGGAUGACGUCAAGUCCUCAUGGCCCUUAUGGGUAGGGCUUCACACGUCAUACAAUGGUACAUACAGAGGGUCGCCAACCCGCGAGGGGGAGCUAAUCCCAGAAAGUGUAUCGUAGUCCGGAUUGUAGUCUGCAACUCGACUACAUGAAGUUGGAAUCGCUAGUAAUCGCGGAUCAGCAUGUCGCGGUGAAUACGUUCCCGGGUCUUGUACACACCGCCCGUCACACCAUGGGAGUGGGUUUCACCAGAAGUAGGUAGCCUAACCGCAAGGAGGGCGCUUACCACGGUGGGAUUCAUGACUGGGGUGAAGUCGUAACAAGGUACCCU